GCCAGGGACUGAGAGAGCUGGGGGAAAUGGAGGAGGACUGGUAACGGCUACAGAAUUUCUUUUUAAGAUGAGCAAAGUAAAGCUCAGAGACAAUAAAACUAGCACCAAGUUUCACAACUGCAGAGUAGCUGAAGUGUGAUUCAAAACCAGGUAAGAUGUGCUGAGUGAUUCUUGCAUGGCGUGCACCAGCCCAGGGACUCACACACGCUAGGCAAGUGCUCUACCAGUGAGCUACACCCUGACCCUCAUCCUCAGCUCUGAAAGAAGGUGAAGCAUAUAAUUUAGAACACAGAUCAUCAUGUGAAUAGCAAAAAAAAAAAAAAAAGUCUUUGGAUGAUUUUCAUUUAUCUGUGACCUUACACGUCUCUAUACCCCUACAGUGCCGUUUACCGAGGACUCACCUGGCACGCAUGCUGUUCCAUAUCACACCAUGUUAUUCUCCCUGUAGAACCUAUGAGGUCCUAUUUUGCAGAUGAGCAGUGAAGGCCAGGCAGGAACUAGUCAGGCCCAUUGUCACACAGACACCACAGCUGCAGGGCAGCCACCACCCUGGGUGCCUGGCUCCUGAGCCCCAAAUAUUGGCCCCACUGCCCUUGUGGGGCCUCUGCAUUCCUUGAUAUCGAUCUAUAAUCUACAAACAGGGAAAGGUGUGCACCUUAAGCACACAACUUGGUUAACCUCACUAGUUCAGAUUGCAAAGAAGAAACUUCUAAAACCCUCUGUCUUCCCUGCCUCCUCCGGGGUAGUUAUGGGUCUGCUUUCCGGCACCGCGGCUCAGUGUACUCCAUUCUAGAACUUCACACAAACACAAUCAUGCGGGGUGUCCCCUUUUGGCUUCCUUGCUCAGCUCAAGGGACGUACCAUGCCACAUGCCUGUCAACCCUGCUCUCUUUACCGUUGGCCUCAUUCCACUGCGUGCCUUUGGCCUGGGCUGUGUACAAGCCCCAAGCUGAGCAGCAGGACCCUAACCUGCUGGAGCAUCCUACCCCCCACUGAUGGAGAACCCGUGAGCGCAGCCUGGCAGAGGAGCGGCUUCUGGGGACCCUGCAGCGCCCUCUCCCUGUGCAGACGCUGGCUGGCCCAGCUCGGCGAGGAGGCCGGUCCCC
Molecule: non-coding RNA, 1106 nt
Organism: Marmota flaviventris (yellow-bellied marmot)
Lineage: Eukaryota; Metazoa; Chordata; Mammalia; Rodentia; Sciuridae
Source: RefSeq, a predicted model, not a curated record